Long non-coding RNA from Leptidea sinapis, 462 nucleotides. RefSeq lists it as uncharacterized. The transcript is spliced from 2 exons. The record is from RefSeq and is a predicted model, not a curated record. Lineage: Eukaryota; Metazoa; Arthropoda; Insecta; Lepidoptera; Pieridae.
UGUUAGCGAUACAAAUCUCGCUUUUGUGGGAAAACUCCGUAGUAGAAGUAGAUUAACCAGAAGUGGUUGGAAAUGGUUACGUGUUCUGUACCUGGAUUUAACUCAUCCAAGAAAGAAGAUCUUCAGAAUUACUUUCACACAUAAUCUUGACGAUAGUUGCGAUCAAGACAAAUAAUAUACCUAGACGAUACAUACAUUUCAGUAGCUCAAACAGUCAUAAAAGAUGCUUUUGAAAGUAUAAUAACAGAACAUUGAAAGACAAUGACAGAGCAUAUUCUUCAUGUUGAAGUUCAGAACAAAACGUGGGAUGGAAUAAUGGAAAACGUGGGAUGGAAAGAAGAGCUAGAACCAUUGAUCAGGAGUGUGCAGGAUGAUAGUUCCAGUAGUAGUUCAGACGAAUCUAUGGAAAUAGAAAUUUUAAAAUCAGCUUUUGAUUAUAAUGUAUAAUGUCUAUUUAUCUUC